UAACACAGUGCAUUUCUAGACCAUUUAAUGAUGAAACACAUACCAAACUAACAGGUGUUCAGAAAAUUUUAACAAUUGUGAUAUUUGGCAAUGUUAAAAUUACUUUCCUGUUAGUAAUUACGAUUAGGUAUCUGUAGAAGUAGCUGCAUGUCAAUUUUCCAAAUAGACAAUUAGUUGGCAAAUUGGCCUUUUUUUUGCAAUACACACACAAAAAUAACAAAAAGGCCUCUCUUCACAUAAUUAUGUUAUCUGAGAGGACCUGAAAAAGAAUUUCUUAAGGUAAAAAGUUGGCCCAUGAACCACUAUUUCUGGACAAAUAUGACUCAGUUUACUCCUUUGUAGGAGUGAAUAUUCUGGGUGGAAUUGGCAUUUAUUAUCAUUAUCACUGUACCGAUAAUCAGAACAAUGGAGUCCAUAUUACCUUCUUUAUUGACCAGGUAUUACCUUGCUUCUUAGUUUUCCCAUAGAUAAAACUGCAUCUGGUGAUAGUGAGCGAUAUUUAACCACCUGGCAAAUGUUAAAUAUUUGCUUUAGGCACAAUAAAAACCUUAGUGUUAUUGACAGUACUAUUUCAUGCUAUAUUACUAUUUAAACAUCCCCCACACCUCUCUGACAUAUGCCUUUUGAUUUACCCAUGUGACAGUUAAUAUUGAGUGUCAACUUGGUUGGAUUGAAGGAUGCAAAGUAUUGAUCCUGGGUGUGUCUGUGAGGGUGUUGCCAAAGGAGAUCAGCAUUUGAGCUAGUGGACUGGGAGAGGCAGUCACACCCUCGAUCUCAGUGGGCACCAUCUAAUCAGCUCCCAGCAUAAAAGCAGGGAUGGAAAAGGCAGAUUUAAAGAGUUUUUCGGCCUCCAUCUUUCUCCCAUGCUGGAUGCUUCCUGCCCUCGAACGUCGGACUCCAAGUUCUUCAGCUUUUGGACUUUUGGACUUACAGCAGUGGUUUGCCAGGGGCUCUCGGACCUUCGACCAAGGACUGAAAGCUGCACUGUUGGUUUUCCCAUUUUUGAGGUAUUGGGACUCAGACUGGCUUCCUUGCUCCCCAGCUUGCAGAUGGCCUAUUGUGGAACUUCACUUUGUGAUCAUGUUUAAGAGCCUGCCCCCCAAAGGGAGACCUGAAAUAUUCCAGAACUGAUUUUACCAGGUAAUAAUUCUGUCUAAUUUUACAGCUCAGUAUUAGCAAAUUAUCAGUGCUAAGUUUAUAACUUUCUCAUCUUUAUUAGUUUUAAUAUUGGCAUUUUGAUCUCCAGAGUUUGUCUGACUUCUUUAUCUCAGUUGAUACCCAAGAAGGAAUCUUCAGUGGGGAAAAGAGGGAUGUUACUUUUUAACUCCUAUAAAACCCAGAAAUAGAAUUUUGUUUUAAUUUAAUAGUCAAACAUUAUAAAGUAUGUCAAAACUUUUUUCAUCUGUUGGAGGAGGAGUAAUGAACGUGACCUACAUACUGUUAUGAGAAUUAAUUGUAAUAACAUAUACAGUGCAUUCUCAACAGGAGUGCUAGCAUCCUCUUUAGCAUACACUGCUCAGAAUUUCACUAGUCAGUGUGGCUGCCAGAGGGAGAGGUUGUCAUUGCAGCACUGUCCCAGCUAGGAGGCAGAGCCUAAGAAAGGAAGCUGUAGAGUUCUGGGCAAGACAGUCUUCCAGAGGUGGUUCAGAGAAUCUCCCAAAAUCACAAACCAAGUCUAGAUUCUUCUCAAGAGGUAAGAGGUGGCCUGAUUGGAGGAAGUGGACCUUCAAUGGUGUGUUAGAAGGUAAGAGGCGAGGGAGUCAGUAGACCAAGGUAAUGUUUAAGAAAGCUGUUCAAAUAUCAAAGGGGAAACUUGGAGUGAUGAUAAUAACUGCUGUUUAUGGAGAACAUGUAGUAAGCACUUUACAUCCAUUAUUUAGUUUUGCAGAUUAGGAGCUCUUGUAUGUUGGCUGUUUCCUUGAGAAGAACAUGCCCAGGGUAGCAGGUGUUCUCAGAUAAGCUGAUCCCACUGCUAAGCCACAGGCUGCUGAGAAAUAAUCAAUAAUAAAUGACCCUCGUGCUAAGUCAUAGAGUUGUGAGGUGGCUUAUUAUGCAGUAAUAGCUAAUUGAUGUAGAAGUUUGUCAAUCAUCAUUUAAUAAUCAAAGUAAUUUGUCUAAAGUAAUAAAGCUAGUGAGUGGCAGAGCUGGGAUUCACAUUCAGAUGUUUUCACCACAAUGACUGUUUUUUUUUUUUUUUUUAACCUCUGCACGAGGACACUAGACUAUAAUAUGAAAUACAAUUUGUACUUGAAGUUCAUCUUAGGUGCAAAGCAGAGGUUUCUCAAGCAUUCCAGAGAUGCAGAAAAACAGACAUAUGGAUUCCCUAGGAACUAACAUUGUAAGCUCAAUGAGGACAGAAACAGAUCUUCCUUGUUCCUUGUUUUGUCCUCAGCAGCUAGCACAAAGCUUGCAGAGUAAGUGUCCAAUAAACCCUUGAAUGAAUGAAUUAUAAAAUUCACUAUAUCAUUUCUACUUUUUUGUGUCUUUCAAUGAAAGUGGGGAAGUCCAUUAAAUAAAGGUAUAACUUAAGACAUAACAAAAAUUACAAAUAUUAUCAGAUUAUGAAAUACUAAAAAAAUUCUCAAGAAUCUUCCAGAAAAAAUUACAUUGUUUGCAAAGUCAGGUCUCACUUUGGUGAAGUCCUUGGAAAUGAAAUUACUCUUUCCCAGUGGACUUCUCUGUAAAUACCAAUGUUACCAUCUGAAUUACCGUCUGGUUACUGUCUAAGUUAUGUUGCAUGAAGAUGUUGGUGGGUUUGUUAAUGUUGGACUUCUUUGGAGCAGAUGGAAGUGUUGUUUCAAACAGUGUUUUCUUUUCCAUUCUGUCACCAAAAAUUAUCUGCCUUAAUUUUUAUACUGAGUCCUAAUUGCCAUUGUAUCUUUGAUUUCAAUUAUCACAGAAGACAAAAGAAAGUGCUAAACAAAAGUUAAGUGAAAUUGAGGAUUUGUUGAUUUUUUAUGUUUUCUAUUUAUGUGUCCCCUGCCCCUACUCUUCCUGGGAAAUCCUAAGAAUCAAAGUAAUUUGACUUCAUAAUGGGUUUUGAUGCCACAUAGCUGUUUUAAGCUAGUCAAGAUAGCUGGGUCUCAACUUCCUAAUUUCCUCAUCUAGGUAAUAAAAGUGUUGUACUGAAUUAUAUUCAAAGUUCUUUUUUUCUCCUAAAAAUCUAUGAUUCUAUGUAUGAGGGACCGCCAGAUAGGGAGAACUAC
RNAcentral lists this long non-coding RNA (3206 nucleotides) under Papio anubis (olive baboon). RNAcentral's name for it is "lncRNA (ENSPANG00000037944.1)". The record is from RNAcentral. Lineage: Eukaryota; Metazoa; Chordata; Mammalia; Primates; Cercopithecidae.